AUUGAACGCUGGCGGCAGGCUUAACACAUACAAGUCGAGCGGGGUGAUGGUGCUUGCACUAUCACUUAGCGGCGGACGGGUGAGUAAUGCUUAGGAAUCUGCCUAUUAGUGGGGGACAACAUCUCGAAAGGGAUGCUAAUACCGCAUACGUCCUACGGGAGAAAGCAGGGGAUCACUUGUGACCUUGCGCUAAUAGAUGAGCCUAAGUCGGAUUAGCUAGUUGGUGGGGUAAAGGCCUACCAAGGCGACGAUCUGUAGCGGGUCUGAGAGGAUGAUCCGCCACACUGGGACUGAGACACGGCCCAGACUCCUACGGGAGGCAGCAGUGGGGAAUAUUGGACAAUGGGGGGAACCCUGAUCCAGCCAUGCCGCGUGUGUGAAGAAGGCCUUAUGGUUGUAAAGCACUUUAAGCGAGGAGGAGGCUCUUUUGGUUAAUACCCAAGAUGAGUGGACGUUACUCGCAGAAUAAGCACCGGCUAACUCUGUGCCAGCCGCCGUAAUAC
RNAcentral lists this ribosomal RNA (503 nucleotides) under uncultured bacterium. RNAcentral describes it as "partial 16S ribosomal RNA". It matches the Rfam family "Bacterial small subunit ribosomal RNA", at positions 30 to 526 of the family's 1533-position model. The record is from RNAcentral.